AGAUUUAUUUAUUUUUUCAAUAUUUUUCUAGCAUCCGAAGCGAACGGACGUGCGCGUUUGGUCUGGGUUUACGCUAAAAGUUUUGUUUUCAAUUGUAGCUCCAGUCCAGAAAGAGCUACAUUAGCUACCAUUCAAUUCAACAACGGUGCUUCAUCGUUCUUCUAGCGUUUGCAAUACGGAUGUGAUACGACGAUAGAGUGCGUGCCUGUAAAAUUGUGUCUGUGAAUGUGUGUGAGAGAGGGAAAGAGAGUGGUUUGGUUUUCCAUUUUCAACCAAGGUAGAAUUUUACUCAAAAAUCUAUCCAAAUAGUACACGUGAGUUUAAAAAAUUUACAAAGAGGUGUAUCUUGUUCGUGUGUGCGUCGUGUAUUUCUGAAGGAAAACCGUCAAAAUAGUCCCGUGCGGAAAAGUGAAUCAAAUACUCCCGAAACACCUGAAGCAGGGUGGUGUCCUCCCAUUUUCACCCUCGCAUCCUUUUGUUCUAUCAUCUAAGUGUGGUGUGAAAAACGCCCGGUAAAGAAAGUGUCAAAAUUUUCCACAAGUGUGCGUAAACCGUGUGAAAGAAAAGUCCCCAAAACCCCCGGAAAAGUUGUGUUGUGCUGUGUGUGUGUGUGUUUGUGUGGUGUUGCGCGGCUGUACGUGUACCUACACAGGAUGAUUUGAAUGUUGCUGGAUAUUUUUAGCGCGCAUGGAGAAAAGUGCUGCAGCGGUCCACCAGUGCAUGUGUUUGUGAUGAUGGUUGCUUGCACCUUUCCCGCAACGAAGCUAGUUUCAUCACGGUGGUAGAAGAUAUCUAGCAUUCAAUAUUCUCUCAAACCCUGGUUACGGAAAACAACCGAAUUUGAAGCAACAGCACCCUUAGUGCGGAAAGGAAAUUAAUCAGCUGAAACACCCAUACACACGAAACACGAAACACGUAAAAAGGAAACUCUCACCUACUGGAGCAGCAUUGUGAACGGCAAAGAAUGUGAACGAACAGAUGAAGGAAAGAACAGCGACAGCUUGGUGCACGGUGCUGCGGCCACUGCAGUGAGGAAGACAUCUUCUGCCGGAGCAUUGCACUGCAGCAGAGAUGAAUAUGAUGCUCGCAACGGAAACGACGAAGUCGACGUUGGCAGCGGCCGGUUCCAGAUAGGCGCGGCAUCAGCUGACACUUGGAUAAAAAACUAUCUCGGAUGCUCCUAGGCUAGAAAGCGAAAGCAAUCGCCGUGACAUUUCUCGCCCAGCUGACGUCUUCGAGUCGUCACUCUUUCCUCACCUCACUGUCACUGCCAAAAAAGCCGGU
This is a long non-coding RNA of Anopheles funestus (African malaria mosquito), 1284 nucleotides long. RefSeq lists it as uncharacterized. Lineage: Eukaryota; Metazoa; Arthropoda; Insecta; Diptera; Culicidae. The record is from RefSeq and is a predicted model, not a curated record. The transcript is spliced from 3 exons.